Molecule: non-coding RNA, 66 nt
Filed under: Rhodanobacter spathiphylli
Lineage: Bacteria; Pseudomonadati; Pseudomonadota; Gammaproteobacteria; Lysobacterales; Rhodanobacteraceae
Description: Rhodanobacter sp. Fluoride sequence
Rfam family: Fluoride riboswitch aptamer (crcB RNA motif)
Source: RNAcentral
GGGGUUUCAAGAGAUGGCAUGCCUCUUUGAACCGCCGGCGAUCCGGCUGAUGAUGCCUACCCACCG